Molecule: long non-coding RNA, 1375 nt
Organism: Eriocheir sinensis (Chinese mitten crab)
Lineage: Eukaryota; Metazoa; Arthropoda; Malacostraca; Decapoda; Varunidae
Exons: 2
Source: RefSeq, a predicted model, not a curated record
GCGUGUGUGUGUGUGUGUGUGUGUGUGUGUGUGAAAAUAAGGACACAAGAAGCGGUGCAUGCGUCCACAAGCGGCUUUUUGGUGCAUGUGUAUGAGUCAGCGCUUUUCACCCACAAGCACGACGCCCUUUAAUUUAGUCUUCUUUCACACUGCAGCCGUUAUUAACACCCGCUAUAUAACAGGUGUGGACGUAUACGAAACCUUUUUGCCUCGCUUCCACUGAACUAUAAAGAACGGCGUUAGUGGGUGGGUCUCUUUUUUCAUGCUGGCACUAAAAUUUAAAGAACGGGGUUAGGUUUUGGGGUCUCUUUCAUGCUGGCAGUAAAAUUUAAAGAACGGCGUUAGUGGGUGGGUCUCUUUCACGCUGACACUAAAAUUUAAAGAACGGGAUUAGAUUUUUGGGUCUCUUUCACGCUGACACUAAAAUCUAAAGAACGGGGUUGGGUCUUUGGGUCUCUUUCACGCUAGCAUUGAUACAUAGGGAAUAGCGUUAGGUGUGCGGGUCCCCUUCCACGCUGUCAUUGAUAUAUAAGGGAUUGCUUUGGGUGGGUAGGUGUUUCUCCUUUCACGCUGCCACUGACACAUAAGGAAUUGUGUCAGGUGAGCGGGUCACCAUUCACGCCGAAGCCACUCUUUACCUGGUGGUGUCGAGUCGGCGGAAAAGAAGAUCAAGAGUUGUGACUUUGUUGUCACUGAAAUACAACUAGGAACUGCGAUGAGAUUAAAGGCGGUGUGCACAAAAGGAGAGGUUAGAAGAAUAUACAAAUGGAAUGAGAGAAGAAUUUACUUAGAAAAGAUAUAAAUAUAAUAGAGAUAGGACGAGAGAAGAAUAUAGAUGACAGAAGAAUGUAAAAAAAAAAGACAUGACAAGAUUAAACAAAGGAGAGAAAAAUAUACGUAGAAUAGACAUGAACAGAUUAUAGAAGUACAUGAGAGAAGAAUGUAGAGAAGGCAUGACAGAGGAAUAUAUAGAAAAAGACAUGACAAGUGUAUACAAAAGGCACCACAGGAAAAUAUACAUAAGACAUAAACAAAAGAAUAUAACAAAGACAUGAUAAAAGAAGCAUAGAAAAGAAAGAAGGAUACAUUAAAAGGAUAUUAUACAGAAGAACAUACAAACGGCAAGACAGAAUAGACAAAAAAGACAUAACAAGAACUAUAAACAAGACAUGAAAAAUAGACAAAUAGCAUGAUGGAAUACACAAAAAAAAAAAUGAAAAAAAAUGCAUGACAGUAAUACACAGAAAAAAUCACAACAGCAGAAUAUAAAAGAGGCAUAAAAGAAAAAAAAGUACACCCAAAAAACCAUGACAGGAGGAACAAAGAAAAGAUAAAACAAGACGAAACAAAAGACAGAAUACACAAUAAAAAAUAA